Molecule: long non-coding RNA, 663 nt
Filed under: Homo sapiens (human)
Lineage: Eukaryota; Metazoa; Chordata; Mammalia; Primates; Hominidae
Description: HSALNT0071563
Source: RNAcentral
CAGCUCACCAGCUGUAGUUGGAGAACCAGAACCAGCACUUCAUGUUCUGCUACCUUGUGCAAAAGCUUCCUGGCCCCUUCCUUCGGGGCAAGUUCCAAAAAUUGUGGCCAAUCUCUCCCAUCUUCUACUUCUUUCCCCAUCUUAAGUGUCUAUAAGGAACUAUGCCAACCCUUCAUCCAGUAGCAACUUUUCCAGUGCCAGCUACCUUCUCCCCAACUCCUGUGUUUUACCAGAUGAGAAAGCAGGCCAGGGCAGCUGGGAGCCACUGGGGCUGGAUUGGGAGCAACAUUUGGUUGCUGUUGUCCAAUUGCAGUGCACUGGAACUCCUCCAAGGACACAACAGAGAAGCUGCUGCCAGGUCUCCCCAAAGGCUGCAUAGACUUCAUCCCCACCAUACAAUGCCAGUCCUGUUGAUAAAUACAAUGCCAGUCCUGUUGAUAAAUGCCCCUAUAUUGGUUGUAGCACAGAGGUGCAAACUACAUUGAACACACCUGGGAGAAAGUGCUGGGGAGGGGGAAGCAAAAUAUACAGAAAAGAGAGUGGAUUAGGCACCAGAAGGUCUGGAUUUGAAUCCCAGUUUGUGAGUUGGUGUGUGCCACAGCCUUGGGCAAAUCUCUUCCGUCUUCAGUUUCCCAUCUGAGACAUGGAGAACAGCUGAUCAAC